Molecule: transfer RNA, 71 nt
Filed under: Plenaster craigi
Lineage: Eukaryota; Metazoa; Porifera; Demospongiae; Axinellida; Stelligeridae
Description: tRNA-Trp
Rfam family: tRNA
About the family: Transfer RNA (tRNA) molecules are approximately 80 nucleotides in length. Their secondary structure includes four short double-helical elements and three loops (D, anti-codon, and T loops).
Source: RNAcentral
AGAAGAUUAGGUUAGUGGUAAACUUGUAGCCUUCAAAGUUAUUCACGUUGGUUCGAUUCCAUCAUCUUCUG